This 469-nucleotide ribosomal RNA is filed under the name uncultured bacterium. RNAcentral describes it as "partial 16S ribosomal RNA". It matches the Rfam family "Bacterial small subunit ribosomal RNA", at positions 28 to 507 of the family's 1533-position model. The record is from RNAcentral.
GACGAACGCUGGCGGCGUGCUUAACACAUGCAAGUCGAACGGAAAGGCCCUGCUUGCAGGGUGCUCGAGUGGCGAACGGGUGAGUAACACGUGGGUGAUCUGCCCCUUACUUUGGGAUAAGCCUGGGAAACUGGGUCUAAUACUGGAUAGGACCAUGCUGUAGGUGGUGUGGUGGAAAGAUUAGUUUCGGUAAGGGAUGAGCUCGCGGCCUAUCAGCUUGUUGGUGGGGUAAUGGCCUACCAAGGCGUCGACGGGUAGCCGGCCUGAGAGGGUGGACGGCCACAUUGGGACUGAGAUACGGCCCAGACUCCUACGGGAGGCAGCAGUGGGGAAUAUUGCACAAUGGGCGCAAGCCUGAUGCAGCGACGCCGCGGGGGGGAUGACGGCCUUCGGGUUGUAAACUCCUUUCAGCCAUGACGAAGCCCUUGUGGUGACGGUAGUGGUAGAAGAAGCACCGGCUAACUACGUG